RNAcentral lists this ribosomal RNA (407 nucleotides) under uncultured bacterium. RNAcentral describes it as "bacterial SSU rRNA". It matches the Rfam family "Bacterial small subunit ribosomal RNA", at positions 509 to 916 of the family's 1533-position model. The record is from RNAcentral.
CAGCAGCCGCGGUAAUACGAAGGGGGCUAGCGUUGUUCGGAAUUACUGGGCGUAAAGCGCACGUAGGCGGAUUUGUUAGUCAGGGGUGAAAUCCCGGGGCUCAACCUCGGAACUGCCUUUGAUACUGCAAGUCUAGAGUCCGGAAGAGGUGAGUGGAAUUCCUAGUGUAGAGGUGAAAUUCGUAGAUAUCAGGAGGAACACCGGUGGCGAAGGCGGCUUCCUGGACCAAUACUGACGCUGAGGCGCGAAGGCGUGGGGAGCAAACAGGAUUAGAUACCCUGGUAGUCCACGCCCUAAACUAUGUCAACUUGGUGUUGGGGAAGCGAUUCCUCAGUACCGUAGCUAACGCGUGAAGUUGACCGCCUGGGGAGUACGGCCGCAAGGUUAAAACUCAAAGGAAUUGACGG